CAAUAGCGUAUAUUAAAGUUGUUGCGGUUAAAAAGCUCGUAGUUGGAUUUCUGCUGAGAACGACCGGUCCGCCCUCUGGGUGUGUAUCUGGCUCUUUCUUGGCAUCUUCUUGGUGAACGUUGCUGCACUUGACUGUGUGGAGCGCUACCCAGGACUUUUACUUUGAGGAAAUUAGAGUGUUUCAAGCAGGCAUACGCCUUGAAUACAUUAGCAUGGAAUAAUAAGAUAGGACCUCGGUUCUAUUUUGUUGGUUUCUAGAGCUGAGGUAAUGAUUAAUAGGGAUAGUUGGGGGCAUUCGUAUUUAACGGGCAGAGGUGAAAUUCUUGGAUUUGUUAAAGACGGACUACUGCGAAAGCAUUUGCCAAGGAUGUUUUCAUUGA
RNAcentral lists this ribosomal RNA (380 nucleotides) under uncultured eukaryote. RNAcentral describes it as "partial 18S ribosomal RNA". It matches the Rfam family "Eukaryotic small subunit ribosomal RNA", at positions 592 to 976 of the family's 1831-position model. The record is from RNAcentral.